Molecule: unclassified non-coding RNA, 250 nt
Filed under: plant metagenome
Description: partial contains small subunit ribosomal RNA, internal transcribed spacer 1, and 5.8S ribosomal RNA
Source: RNAcentral
GUAGGUGAACCUGCGGAAGGAUCAUUAACACGUAUCCAAACGUUAAACCCCCUGUGCAUCUUAAUCCUGCUCGCUUUCGCCUUGACAAAGCAAUCUCUGGUAAAUCAUUGCCCAAACCUCUUUCGAAACACGAAUCCAUGGAGCGGCAGAUCAAUAGGCUUGGCUUCCAACGGAGGGAGGAUAACUUGGUAACAUCCAAGGUCGUUGGCUUACACGGUCAACGGACAAGUCUCUGGGCGUAAAGCCCCAG